UACGUAGGGGGCAAGCGUUAUCCGGAAUUACUGGGUGUGAAGGGAGCGUAGACGGUAAUGUAAGUCUGGAGUGAAAGGCGGGGGCCCAACCCCCGGACUGCUCUGGAAACUAUGUUACUAGAGUGCAGGAGAGGUAAGCGGAAUUCCUAGUGUAGCGGUGAAAUGCGUAGAUAUUAGGAGGAACACCAGUGGCGAAGGCGGCUUACUGGACUGUAACUGACGUUGAGGCUCGAAAGCGUGGGGAGCAAACAGG
Molecule: ribosomal RNA, 253 nt
Filed under: uncultured bacterium
Lineage: Bacteria
Description: partial 16S ribosomal RNA
Rfam family: Bacterial small subunit ribosomal RNA
Source: RNAcentral